Molecule: RNA transcript, 2642 nt
Organism: Brassica napus (rape)
Lineage: Eukaryota; Viridiplantae; Streptophyta; Magnoliopsida; Brassicales; Brassicaceae
Gene name: agamous-like MADS-box protein AGL61
Exons: 1
Source: RefSeq, a predicted model, not a curated record
GGUUUUCCGGGAGAGGUUUUAAUGAGGCAACGUUAGCACAUUACAAGCCCGAUAUGGUUAUGGCAUCCAAGGGGGAGUGUUAUAAAUCCAUGAUAUGGAUAUGUGGAUUGCCAUUAACCAUCAGGGAGGUUUACAUCUGACCCGACUAUCCGGUCCGUCUACACCCGGUCCGUCUACACCCGUCUCCGGUCCGUCUACAUCCGACCAAGACUAGUCAAGAUGAAGACUCAUUCAACCGGAGCAUUUAUGAGCUUUGACCAAGUCUAGAUAUUUGUGGUCAAUAUGUAAUAAAUGUGUAGAUACUCUCCUUUGUUGUAAACCCUUGGAACCUCCACUAUAUAUUGAUAGUGAGAGCUAAUGAGAAAGACACAACUUUCAAAGCAACACUUCUCUCAUAUUUCUAACAAUUAGGAUUAUAAGUGAUUAAUCAAUCAUUCUGUUCCAGACUUUUUAUUUCUGUUCUCACUAUUUUAAAUGAGCUUGGUCCACUAUUAUUAUUACUCCUACUAUUUAUUAUUAUGAUGAUUCAUUGGUUUGGUGGUGAUGUAUCCAAUUUGAAUUCAUUUUUCGUUACAACUUGUAUCAGCACAUAAUCCUCUUUAAUUCUUAUGCAGAUCCAUAGAAAACUUGUCUGUUGGCUUUUCUUUUUCUAUAUUUUAAAACUCAAAUAGCGUAUUUUUAUUAUUUAUAAGUACUGAAACAAAUGGUAUGGUUUAGAUAAUAAUAGCUUAUAAAGUGGAAACGAACACGAUAAUUGACUUUUAGGCGACGAUUUAUUUAAUCUAAAACAAAAUCUUCCUCGUAACCAAAUAUAAUGGGCGAGGAUGACAUUAGAUACCAAAUCUCUCGUUUCAAAUCUGAAAUGAAAAGAAAAAAUUUGUAAUAGGGAGGGGUGAAAGUGGGUCAAAAUAACUCGGUGGCCAAUUUGUAACGAAGUCAAGUUCGUCGUCGUAUACUAUAUAGUUUUAUUCAAGCAACUCAUCCACCCUCUCAUGUCAUGUAUCUAAAAACUAACUACAAACACGUGCAUGUGGUGGGAUUAGCAAAUCGGUUCCUCAAAGAAAACAUUUAGCUAGGGAAAGUUAAUAUUAUGUUAUUAUGGCUAAAUCUUCCUUAAUCAGACAUUAACAAUUUCAGAUUUUUCAUUAUCGUCUAUCAACAAAACUAAAUAUAAAAAGAGUAAUUACAAAAUGGCUGUUUUUUUUUACCACACAAAAUGACUGUUUUUUUUUUGCUAAAAAUUACAAAAUGGAUGUUACAACUUACAAAUGUAAGUCUGAUAGUGCCAAUUGCCAAACCCACACUCAAGAUUUUCGAGGAAGCGUCGGAAGGCAAAGGAUUCGGAUGGCCAAGAUAGAGAAGGAGAGCCACCCACAUGCAAGUCAGGUUCUCAAAACGCAGAGCUGGUCUCUUCAAGAAAGCAAGCAGCUACACACUUUGUGCGGUGUAGAGGUUGCAAUCAUCGUAUACUCUCCCGUUAAUAAGCAUUUCUCGUUUGGCCAUCCAAACGUCUACUCUGUAUUGAAAUCGCUACAGAAACAACACUUCCUGUGGGCAGCCAAGGCAACCGAAGGAAAACACAGGAGCGAGUUAAGUUUGGUGUUGAGCCAGGUCGAAGAAGAGAGGUGGGGAGAUGAGCAAAACUAAAAGAGAGAGUAAAAUGGACAUGAGUUUGCUUCAGUUACAUAAAAUGAAAGUUGAGCUAGAGGAGCUAAUGAACACAAUUGUGAUGCCUCCUUCUUGCAUGAACAAAAUGUCUACUGGUUUUUCUUGCAUUUAUUCUGGCUAUGGACAUGUUUGUUCCUGAGUCACACGCAGCAAAGUGUAACGAAAGACAGACUAAAUAAUAAAAAAAUUGAUGAUGUCCGUUUAUGGAUAAAGAUGUCAAUAAAAAAGUUGGUGGUUCAGCUGGGUACGAGCCAGCAGGCCAUGAUGGAUAUGAAUGGCGUUGAGCCGUUAUCCAUCCACUACUGAGAGAGGGAGGUGAUCGCUGCUCUGUGAAACCAGCCUCACGCAUUGCCCUCCACUUUAGGAACCGUCUGCGCCAAGCUUUCGCUCAACACACACGGACCACUCUCAGCUUGGGUUGGGCAGCCUAGAACAGUGCCACAUCAAAUCAGACCCGUUGGCCGAGCCAGUGUUCUACCAACUUAUCAUCCCCACAUGGGUUACAAGCACUCGUUACUGAGCUCGACAUAAAAUCAUUGGUUUAAGGACUUAUAUAAACACAACAAUUACAAGUCAAGUAACCGAUGUGGGACAAAAUAGAAGUUUUAGAUAAUUUUCUGUUGUACUACAAUACUAGCUUAAGAUCCGCGCAAUGGCGCAGAAUGAAUGUUAUAUAUAAAAAUAUUUUUUAUAUAUUAUUAUUUAUUUGUAUUCAUAUAUGUAUUAUGUAUAUAAUUAAAUUAGAAUAAGCACAUAAAUCAAAACAAUAUUACGAUAAUGUUUUGGUAAAUUAAUCAAAACAAUCAUUUUAUUUAUUUUAUAUGGUAUAUAAAUAAAUUUUAGUUACAUGGGCAUAGAUAUAUAGUAUAUUUUAAUAUUAAUAUUUAUUAUUGAAAAUUCAUAUUCAUAUGAUAAACACAAAUUUCUAAUGUACGAUUUUUUAAUGCAAAUUUCAAAAUUAAAAUAAUAAGGUU